UAGGGAAUUUUCGUCAAUGGGCGCAAGCCUGAACGAGCGAUGCCGCGUGAGUGAAGAAGGCCUUCGGGUCGUAAAGCUCUGUUGCGGGGGAAAAAAGGACAGCAUCAGGAAAUGGGUGCUGACUGAUGGUGCCCCGCCAGAAAGUCAUGGCUAACUACGUGCC
Molecule: ribosomal RNA, 163 nt
Filed under: uncultured bacterium
Lineage: Bacteria
Description: partial 16S ribosomal RNA
Rfam family: Bacterial small subunit ribosomal RNA
Source: RNAcentral